AGAGUUUGAUCCUGGCUCAGGAUGAACGCUAGCGGCAGGCCUAACACAUGCAAGUCGAGGGGUAGUUGUCUUCGGACAAUGAGACCGGCGCACGGGUGCGUAACGCGUAUGCGAUCUACCUUAUACUAAGGGAUAGCCCAGAGAAAUUUGGAUUAAUACCUUAUGAGUUAAUUGAAAAGGCAUCUUUUUAAUUAUAAAGAUUAAUUGGUAUAAGAUGAGCAUGCGUCCCAUUAGUUAGUUGGUAAGGUAACGGCUUACCAAGACGAUGAUGGGUAGGGGUCCUGAGAGGGAGAUCCCCCACACUGGUACUGAGACACGGACCAGACUCCUACGGGAGGCAGCAGUGAGGAAUAUUGGUCAAUGGGCACAAGCCUGAACCACCCAUGCCGCGUGCAGGAUGACGCAUCCAUGGUGUGUAAACUGCUUUUGUACAGGAAGAAAUAUCCCGACGAGUCGGGACUUGACGGUACUGUAAGAAUAAGGAUCGGCUAACUCCGUGCCAGCAGCCGCGGUAAUACGGAGGAUCCAAGCGUUAUCCGGAAUCAUUGGGUUUAAAGGGUCCGUAGGCGGCUUAAUAAGUCAGCGGUGAAAGUUUUUGGCUUAACCAAAAAAUUGCCAUUGAUACUGUUAGGCUUGAAUUUUUGUGAAGUAUACUAGAAUAUGUAGUGUAGCGGUGAAAUGCUUAGAUAUUACAUGGAAUACCAAUUGCGAAGGCAGGUUUCUAACAAACGAUUGACGCUGAUGGACGAAAGCGUGGGUAGCAAACAGGAUUAGAUACCCUGGUAGUCCACGCCGUAAACGAUGAGUGCUAAGUGUUAGGGGGUUUCCGCCCCUUAGUGCUGCAGCUAACGCAUUAAGCACUCCGCCUGGGGAGUACGGCCGCAAGGCUGAAACUCAAAGGAAUUGACGGGGACCCGCACAAGCGGUGGAGCAUGUGGUUUAAUUCGAAGCAACGCGAAGAACCUUACCAGGUCUUGACAUCCCAGUGACCGUCAUGGAGACAUGAUUUUCCCUUCGGGGACACUGGUGACAGGUGGUGCAUGGUUGUCGUCAGCUCGUGUCGUGAGAUGUUGGGUUAAGUCCCGCAACGAGCGCAACCCUUAAUGUUAGUUGCCAUCAUUUAGUUGGGCACUCUAAUGUGACUGCCGGUGACAAACCGGAGGAAGGUGGGGAUGACGUCAAAUCAUCAUGCCCCUUAUGACCUGGGCUACACACGUGCUACAAUGGACGAUACAGAGGGCUGCAAACCCGCGAGGGGGAGCCAAUCCCAGAAAAUCGUUCCCAGUUCGGAUUGCAGUCUGCAACUCGCCUGCAUGAAGCCGGAAUCGCUAGUAAUCGUGGAUCAGCAUGCCACGGUGAAUACGUUCCCGGGUCUUGUACACACCGCCCGUCAAG
This 1395-nucleotide ribosomal RNA is filed under the name uncultured bacterium. RNAcentral describes it as "partial 16S ribosomal RNA". It matches the Rfam family "Bacterial small subunit ribosomal RNA". The record is from RNAcentral.